GUUCGGAUUGCAGUCUGCAACUCGAGUGCAUGAAGCUGGAAUCGCUAGUAAUCGCGGAUCAGAAUGCCGCGGUGAAUACGUUCCCGGGUCUUGUACACACCGCCCGUCACACCAUGGGAGUCGGGAAUGCCCGAAGCCGGUGGCCCGAUCGAGAGAAGGGAGCCGUCGAAGGCAGGCCGGAUGACUGGGGUGAAGUCGUAACAAGGUAUC
Molecule: ribosomal RNA, 210 nt
Filed under: uncultured bacterium
Lineage: Bacteria
Description: partial 16S ribosomal RNA
Rfam family: Bacterial small subunit ribosomal RNA
Source: RNAcentral